GCAUCCGUAGCUCAGCUGGAUAGAGUACUGCCCUCCGAAGGCAGGGGUCACAGGUUCGAAUCCUGUCGGAUGCACCA
RNAcentral lists this transfer RNA (77 nucleotides) under Novosphingobium humi. Its description in RNAcentral is "tRNA-Arg". It matches the Rfam family "tRNA". Rfam says of the family: Transfer RNA (tRNA) molecules are approximately 80 nucleotides in length. Their secondary structure includes four short double-helical elements and three loops (D, anti-codon, and T loops). The record is from RNAcentral. Lineage: Bacteria; Pseudomonadati; Pseudomonadota; Alphaproteobacteria; Sphingomonadales; Sphingomonadaceae. RNAcentral also lists the same sequence under 1 other name.